RNAcentral lists this transfer RNA (76 nucleotides) under Clostridiaceae bacterium. Its description in RNAcentral is "tRNA-Thr". It matches the Rfam family "tRNA". Rfam says of the family: Transfer RNA (tRNA) molecules are approximately 80 nucleotides in length. Their secondary structure includes four short double-helical elements and three loops (D, anti-codon, and T loops). The record is from RNAcentral. Lineage: Bacteria; Bacillati; Bacillota; Clostridia; Eubacteriales; Clostridiaceae. RNAcentral also lists the same sequence under 2 other names.
GCUGUUGUAGCUCAGUCGGCAGAGCGCGUCCUUGGUAAGGACGAGGUCGGGAGUUCGAAUCUCCCCAACAGCUCCA